AUCUGAGGGAUGAGAAGGAGGAAGAUGUUGAUAAUAAUAACAAGAGCCAUUUGGAAGGAAGAGGUGGUGGAGAGUUCAGUUUGGUAUCCGACCCUGUUGUUUUGAAGUGCCAACUAAAUUUCUGAAAGAAAGCUGGUUGACACACUUGUCUGACAUUCAGGAAGGACGCCAAGGCUAGAGACUGGUUGUUGUGAAUUCAUCAGCUAGGAAGUGUUAUCUUGAAAUCAUAUCUUGGAAAUGUAAUAGUCUGUGGCCUAAUGGAAAUCACAGAGGUUUGGGGAUCAGAAAGAUUUCAAAUCAAAUCCGACAGCCAAGACUCUCCAGUUGUGUAACCUUGGGGAAUUCAUCUGAGCAUUAAUUUUCACAUCUGUAAAAUGAGGUUUCUGUUGAUCUCAGCUGGACUGUUUUGGGAGUUAAUGGAAAGCUACAGAGAAAACAUGGAGAUUUGCUUAUAACAGGAGCUCCAUCGAUGGAAGCCAACACCACCUUUGCAAGUUACCGUCCAACUUACGUUUCACGUACAGGCGGCCUAUCACCUUAGCAGUUCCG
This 549-nucleotide long non-coding RNA is filed under the name Homo sapiens (human). Its description in RNAcentral is "HSALNT0273783". The record is from RNAcentral. Lineage: Eukaryota; Metazoa; Chordata; Mammalia; Primates; Hominidae.